RNAcentral lists this long non-coding RNA (960 nucleotides) under Canis lupus familiaris (dog). Its description in RNAcentral is "lncRNA (ENSCAFG00845015033.1)". Lineage: Eukaryota; Metazoa; Chordata; Mammalia; Carnivora; Canidae. The record is from RNAcentral.
ACAACCUGAGGCCCAGCCUGGUUAGUACUCAGACUUCCUGAGGCCCCUCCUCCUCAAGAUCUUGCCUCCCCAGGGCCUCAACUCAAUCAGGGCCUCUCUAAGCUCCACUCCAAGCCUGAUUCUGGUUGGCCAAGCUCCUUCCCUGUCCAUGGGUUUGUCUUGCUCUUUCAUCCCAAGUGUUUCUCCUCGGAGGCAGAAAAAGCCCCUGGCACAUCCUCCAAGUAAUCACCUCCUUUGGAAGAGACUAUUUUCUGAUUACACUGAGAUUCACAGACCCAGGAAAUGUCCUCAGGAAAUGCACUUGGACAGAUGAUGGUACAUGUUUUACUCUCCUGUUUAUACCUCAGUUUGACUGUUUCUUUCCAAAAUAACAACAAAAACAAAAUCUUCUAGGAAUCUCAAGAUAACAAUAGUCAAUCAAUAUUUUCAUACAUUCAUUUUCUCUGCCCUAAAUUCCUCUUAUGGUUGCUUAGCAUAACCUUGUCCUGGGGAGUGAGAAUUGGGCACAAGAAUGUAUAAUUUAGAAGUAGGAAGAUGUAUAUGGACCCUGGCCCAGCCUUCUGGAUGCUUUAGACUAUAAAAGAAUUUAAGGACAUAUCUAGAACACCAGCUGACAUGACAGAAAGAGAAAAUUAGUUUUAGCUGAGCAUCAGGAUGGACAAUAAGCGCUGGUGAAAAGGGGAAGAAGGUUAGAAAUAAUGGCUUACAGAUGGCUUUCUAGAUAUUGGGGAAAGCUUUUAGAAUAAUGUUAAGAAGAUAUAUCAUUCCAAGAAUGGACAGAAGGAAUGAGGAGAGUAACCCUACCAGGGCAAAUACAUACCCAGGCCACAGGCUCAUCCCAGGAAGGGUAAGUCAGGAUGUGAGAGCUGAAUUAGGAAGGAGGUGAUGGGCCUCAUGGUCGGGGAAGAAUUAGAGUAGGGCUCUGACUAGCUGAUUCGGAGAUCUGGCCUGAAUAUAAAC